This 371-nucleotide ribosomal RNA is filed under the name uncultured organism. Its description in RNAcentral is "bacterial SSU rRNA". It matches the Rfam family "Bacterial small subunit ribosomal RNA", at positions 527 to 896 of the family's 1533-position model. The record is from RNAcentral.
CAGAGGGGCAAGCGUUAUUCGGAAUUAUUGGGCGUAAAGGGCGCGUAGGCGGCUUUUCAAGUGACGGGUGAAAUCCCUCGGCUUAACCGAGGAACUGCCUGUCAGACUGGAAGGCUUGAGACCGGGAGAGGUGAGUGGAAUUCCCAGUGUAGCGGUGAAAUGCGUAGAUAUUGGGAGGAACACCAGUGGCGAAGGCGGCUCACUGGACCGGAACUGACGCUGAGGCGCGAAAGCGUGAGGAGCAAACAGGAUUAGAUACCCUGGUAGUCCACGCCGUAAACGAUGAGUGCUUGGUGUAGCGGGUAUCGACCCCUGCUGUGCCGAAGUCAACACAUUAAGCACUCCGCCUGGGGAGUACGGUCGCAAGACUG